GGGCCUGUAGCGCAGUUGGGAGCGCACUACAUUCGCAUUGUAGGGGUCGAGAGUUCGAAUCUCUUCAGGUCCACCA
RNAcentral lists this transfer RNA (76 nucleotides) under Clostridiaceae bacterium. RNAcentral describes it as "tRNA-Ala". It matches the Rfam family "tRNA". From Rfam's summary of the family: Transfer RNA (tRNA) molecules are approximately 80 nucleotides in length. Their secondary structure includes four short double-helical elements and three loops (D, anti-codon, and T loops). Lineage: Bacteria; Bacillati; Bacillota; Clostridia; Eubacteriales; Clostridiaceae. RNAcentral also lists the same sequence under 1 other name. The record is from RNAcentral.